GAGCUCACCUUGACAACACAUAAACUAGAAUUGGAACAAUACAGAGAAGAUCAGCAUGACCUCCGUGCAAGGAUGAUAUGCAAAUUGGUGAAGCAUUGCAUAUUUUU
This is a small nuclear RNA of Tupaia belangeri (northern tree shrew), 107 nucleotides long. The record is from Ensembl. NCBI's taxonomy places the organism in Eukaryota, Metazoa, Chordata, Mammalia, Scandentia, Tupaiidae.